CCCUUAGACGUUCUGGGCCGCACGCGCGCUACACUGACACAGGCAACGAGCUUUCCUUUACCGAAAGGUAUGGGUAAUCUUUUGAAACUGUGUCGUGCUGGGGAUAGAUCCUUGCAAUUUUUGAUCUUAAACGAGGGAUUCCUAGUAAGCGCGAGUCAUCAACUCGCGUUGAUUACGUCCCUGCCCUUUGUACACACCGCCCGUCGCUACUACCGAUUGAAUGGCUUAGUGAGGCCUCAGGAUCCGCGCUUAAUGUGUGGAGAAUUUGGACAAACUACGUCAUUUAGAGGAAGUAAAAGUCGUAACA
This 307-nucleotide ribosomal RNA is filed under the name uncultured eukaryote. Its description in RNAcentral is "partial 18S ribosomal RNA". It matches the Rfam family "Eukaryotic small subunit ribosomal RNA", at positions 1470 to 1796 of the family's 1831-position model. The record is from RNAcentral.